This is a long non-coding RNA of Clupea harengus (Atlantic herring), 602 nucleotides long. The record is from Ensembl. Lineage: Eukaryota; Metazoa; Chordata; Actinopteri; Clupeiformes; Clupeidae.
UCCUGACUCUCAUCUUUCUUGGCUUCAGGAAACGCUCCAGGACACAGCAGCAAACAUGUGAAACACCAAGUCAUCUCAACAAUUCAAAGCCCUGUGGAAAGCCAUUCUCCAAAGGGGAUGAAGAUGAUGAAGAUGUGUAUGGCAAUGAUGAAAUGAUGCAGGAUGAUGAUGGAGAGAUCUAUGCUAACACCGCGUAUGGAGGCGGUGAAGAGCGUUAUGAUGACAUUUAUGCCAAUUACAAGAGCCAGUGAAAGCCAGAAAGCAGCCGUGCACCAGCAAAUCCACCCUGUGCAGUCUCCAGACCAACAGAGGCCCCAAGUGCAAUUCUGUGAAGUGGCAGUGCACAUAUCCAUCUCAAAAAAAGAAAAACAGACAAACAAGCAAACAACAUUAUAUCAUAUGUUUAGUAUGUAAUGAUACUUUUCACUUUUUACUUUCUACUGGUACACAUGCGUGUUUAUUUUCAUGUAAAUAUGCUAAGACCCUAAAAAUUGCCGCUUCACUUAUAUGUAUGUACGGUAUAUGUAUACGCUAUAUGUUACUUUCUUACCUGUGAAUUGAGCCAGUGGUUAACCAACCAGAUUAUACUAAACAGCCUGAGC